UACGAAGGGGGCUAGCGUUGCUCGGAAUCACUGGGCGUAAAGCGCACGUAGGCGGAUCUUUAAGUCAGGGGUGAAAUCCCAAGGCUCAACCUUGGAACUGCCUUUGAUACUGGGGAUCUUGAGUCCGGGAGAGGUGAGUGGAACUGCGAGUGUAGAGGUGAAAUUCGUAGAUAUUCGCAAGAACACCAGUGGCGAAGGCGGCUCACUGGCCCGGUACUGACGCUGAGGUGCGAAAGCGUGGGGAGCAAACAGG
Molecule: ribosomal RNA, 253 nt
Filed under: uncultured bacterium
Lineage: Bacteria
Description: partial 16S ribosomal RNA
Rfam family: Bacterial small subunit ribosomal RNA
Source: RNAcentral